RNAcentral lists this non-coding RNA (136 nucleotides) under unclassified sequences. Its description in RNAcentral is "RAGATH-19 RNA". It matches the Rfam family "RAGATH-19 RNA". From Rfam's summary of the family: Environmental. The record is from Rfam by way of RNAcentral.
UUAGUGGCGUUUGUUUUCCGUCAAAAGUAAUAAAAGCAUGCCAACCUAUCUUGAAAAUGGGAAACUAAAAAGAUGAUUGCCUUUUGAACGAGGCAAGCCUCACUCACAGACAGAAUGAGUAGUGGUAUUGGUAAUC